ACGCUCGACACCUACGGGGGCAGCAGUGGGGAAUAUUGGGCAAUGGGCGCAAGCCUGACCCAGCAACGCCGCGUGAAGGAAGAAGGCUUUCGGGUUGUAAACUUCUUUUAUCAGGGACGAAAUAAAUGACGGUACCUGAUGAAUAAGCCACGGCUAACUACGUGCCAGCAGCCGCGGUAAUCUGAGCGGGCUGGCAAGGC
This 200-nucleotide ribosomal RNA is filed under the name uncultured bacterium. RNAcentral describes it as "partial 16S ribosomal RNA". It matches the Rfam family "Bacterial small subunit ribosomal RNA", at positions 328 to 539 of the family's 1533-position model. The record is from RNAcentral.